CUGGGUUUAAAGGGUGCGUAGGCGGCCCUGUAAGUCAGUGCUGAAAUACCCCGGCUUAACCGGGGGGGUGGCAUUGAUACUGCAGGGCUUGAGUACAGAUGAGGUAGGCGGAAUUGACGGUGUAGCGGUGAAAUGCAUAGAUAUCGUCAAGAACACCGAUAGCGAAGGCAGCUUACUGGGCUGUAACUGACGCUGAUGCACGAAAGUGUGGGGAUCAAACAGG
RNAcentral lists this ribosomal RNA (223 nucleotides) under uncultured bacterium. RNAcentral describes it as "partial 16S ribosomal RNA". It matches the Rfam family "Bacterial small subunit ribosomal RNA", at positions 554 to 776 of the family's 1533-position model. The record is from RNAcentral.